This 468-nucleotide ribosomal RNA is filed under the name uncultured bacterium. Its description in RNAcentral is "partial 16S ribosomal RNA". It matches the Rfam family "Bacterial small subunit ribosomal RNA", at positions 28 to 507 of the family's 1533-position model. The record is from RNAcentral.
GACGAACGCUGGCGGCGUGCUUAACACAUGCAAGUCGAACGGAGAGGCCCUGCUUUUGUGGGGUGCUCGAGUGGCGAACGGGUGAGUAACACGUGAGUAACCUGCCCUUGACUUUGGGAUAACUUCAGGAAACUGGGGCUAAUACCGGAUAGGAGCUCCUGCUGCAUGGUGGGGGUUGGAAAGUUUCGGCGGUUGGGGAUGGACUCGCGGCUUAUCAGCUUGUUGGUGGGGUAGUGGCUUACCAAGGCUUUGACGGGUAGCCGGCCUGAGAGGGUGACCGGCCACAUUGGGACUGAGAUACGGCCCAGACUCCUACGGGAGGCAGCAGUGGGGAAUAUUGCACAAUGGGCGGAAGCCCGAUGCAGCAACGCCGCGUGCGGGAUGACGGCCUUCGGGUUGUAAACCGCUUUCGCCUGUGACGAAGCGUGAGUGACGGUAAUGGGUAAAGAAGCACCGGCUAACUACGUG